Micropterus dolomieu (smallmouth bass) is the source of this 577-nucleotide long non-coding RNA. RefSeq lists it as uncharacterized. Lineage: Eukaryota; Metazoa; Chordata; Actinopteri; Centrarchiformes; Centrarchidae. The transcript is spliced from 3 exons. The record is from RefSeq and is a predicted model, not a curated record.
CCUCCCUCUACAUUUAUCAGUAAACAGGGUGUGAUUCAUCUUGACUACCAUACAAGUUGUAAAAACAUUUUUUAAAAGAAUUCUACGCCUUAAACAACAGCAACUCGUUGUUUAACCAAGGUUGAAAGUGUGGCCUGAUAUUACGAAAUAAAGGUUGUGACCAGAAACAUGGGAAACAUCUUCUGGGGAGUACGAAUAUCCAUAAUAUCCAGUUUUAUUCGCAUUAAGACAUAUGAAAAGUUUAAAAAGACAGUCCCUCGGGAAAGCGGAAACGGCCUGCCCUGCGGGAACUGAAGGACUGCCCACUGGGGAACCACGCCCCAGACAACAACAGAGCGACACACAACGUCGUUCGCUCUGCUCUCUGGACGCUUCGGCACGCGCCCGGCGAGCCAACUUCACCGAGGUCAGACCCAGCCACGUGGUCUCGCCAGGAGCAACGAAGGAAUUGCCAGACGUGCAACAGGCCAACCCUUGAGGGUUUUUCUUCAAUCAGACACGGAGAACCUUGGAGAAUCCCCUAGCAAAAAGCCAGGAUCGGGCAGCUAGCGUGGGACCCGUGCAACAGGCCAAAGCA